GAUAAACGCUGGCGGCGUGCCUAAUACAUGCAAGUCGAGCGAACGGACGAGAAGCUUGCUUCUCUGAUGUUAGCGGCGGACGGGUGAGUAACACGUGGAUAACCUACCUAUAAGACUGGGAUAACUUCGGGAAACCGGAGCUAAUACCGGAUAAUAUUUUGAACCGCAUGGUUCAGAAGUGAAAGACGGUCUUGCUGUCACUUAUAGAUGGAUCCGCGCUGCAUUAGCUAGUUGGUAAGGUAACGGCUUACCAAGGCAACGAUGCAUAGCCGACCUGAGAGGGUGAUCGGCCACACUGGAACUGAGACACGGUCCAGACUCCUACGGGAGGCAGCAGUAGGGAAUCUUCCGCAAUGGGCGAAAGCCUGACGGAGCAACGCCGCGUGAGUGAUGAAGGUCUUCGGAUCGUAAAACUCUGUUAUUAGGGAAGAACAUAUGUGUAAGUAACUGUGCACAUCUUGACGGUACCUAAUCAGAAAGCCACGGCUAACUACGUGCCAGCAGCCGCGGUAAUACGUAGGUGGCAAGCGUUAUCCGGAAUUAUUGGGCGUAAAGCGCGCGUAGGCGGUUUUUUAAGUCUGAUGUGAAAGCCCACGGCUCAACCGUGGAGGGUCAUUGGAAACUGGAAAACUUGAGUGCAGAAGAGGAAAGUGGAAUUCCAUGUGUAGCGGUGAAAUGCGCAGAGAUAUGGAGGAACACCAGUGGCGAAGGCGACUUUCUGGUCUGUAACUGACGCUGAUGUGCGAAAGCGUGGGGAUCAAACAGGAUUAGAUACCCUGGUAGUCCACGCCGUAAACGAUGAGUGCUAAGUGUUAGGGGGUUUCCGCCCCUUAGUGCUGCAGCUAACGCAUUAAGCACUCCGCCUGGGGAGUACGACCGCAAGGUUGAAACUCAAAGGAAUUGACGGGGACCCGCACAAGCGGUGGAGCAUGUGGUUUAAUUCGAAGCAACGCGAAGAACCUUACCAAAUCUUGACAUCCUUUGACAACUCUAGAGAUAGAGCCUUCCCCUUCGGGGGACAAAGUGACAGGUGGUGCAUGGUUGUCGUCAGCUCGUGUCGUGAGAUGUUGGGUUAAGUCCCGCAACGAGCGCAACCCUUAAGCUUAGUUGCCAUCAUUAAGUUGGGCACUCUAAGUUGACUGCCGGUGACAAACCGGAGGAAGGUGGGGAUGACGUCAAAUCAUCAUGCCCCUUAUGAUUUGGGCUACACACGUGCUACAAUGGACAAUACAAAGGGCAGCGAAACCGCGAGGUCAAGCAAAUCCCAUAAAGUUGUUCUCAGUUCGGAUUGUAGUCUGCAACUCGACUACAUGGAGCUGGAAUCGCUAGUAAUCGUAGAUCAGCAUGCUACGGUGAAUACGUUCCCGGGUCU
RNAcentral lists this ribosomal RNA (1372 nucleotides) under uncultured bacterium. RNAcentral's name for it is "bacterial SSU rRNA". It matches the Rfam family "Bacterial small subunit ribosomal RNA", at positions 28 to 1381 of the family's 1533-position model. The record is from RNAcentral.